GUGCUCAUUUGGCAGCACAUAUACUAAAAUCAGAAUGAUACAGAGAAGAUGAGCAGGGCCCCUGCACAAGGAUGACCUGCAAAUUCAUAAAAGACAAAUCUAUUUA
Molecule: small nuclear RNA, 106 nt
Organism: Nycticebus coucang (slow loris)
Lineage: Eukaryota; Metazoa; Chordata; Mammalia; Primates; Lorisidae
Source: RefSeq, a predicted model, not a curated record